This 524-nucleotide ribosomal RNA is filed under the name uncultured bacterium. Its description in RNAcentral is "partial 16S ribosomal RNA". It matches the Rfam family "Bacterial small subunit ribosomal RNA", at positions 28 to 523 of the family's 1533-position model. The record is from RNAcentral.
GACGAACGCUGGCGGCGUGCUUAACUCAUGCAAGUCGAACGAGACGAUUGAAAGCUUGCUUUUAAAAGUCGAGUGGCAAACGGGUGAGUAACGCGUAGACAACCUGCCUUUGAGAUGGGGACAACAGUUCGAAAGGACUGCUAAUACCGAAUGUUGUAUAUUUUCCACAUGGAAGAUAUAUUAAAGAUGGCCUCUAUUUAUAAGCUAUCGCCCAAAGAUGGGUCUGCGUCUGAUUAGCUAGUUGGUGGGGUAACGGCCUACCAAGGCGACGAUCAGUAGCCGGUCUGAGAGGAUGAACGGCCACAUUGGGACUGAGACACGGCCCAGACUCCUACGGGAGGCAGCAGUGGGGAAUCUUCCACAAUGGACGAAAGUCUGAUGGAGCAACGCCGCGUGAGUGAAGAAGGGUUUCGGCUCGUAAAGCUCUGUUGUCGGGGACGAAUGUGCAGUAUUUGAAUAAAGUACUGCAAUGACGGUACCUGACGAGGAAGCCACGGCUAACUACGUGCCAGCCGCCGCCGUAA